AAAGCUUUAAGUUAAAACAAACUAUUAACCUUCAAAGUUAAAAAUACAACCCAUGUAAGCUUUA
RNAcentral lists this transfer RNA (64 nucleotides) under Valleriola javanica. Its description in RNAcentral is "tRNA-Trp". RNAcentral also lists the same sequence under 1 other name. Lineage: Eukaryota; Metazoa; Arthropoda; Insecta; Hemiptera; Leptopodidae. The record is from RNAcentral.